CCCUUAGAUGUUCUGGGCCGCACGCGCGCUACACUGAUGCAUUCAACGAGUUUCUUCCUGGUCCGAGAGGAAUGGGUAACCUUUUGAAAGUGCAUCGUGAUAGGGAUAGACUAUUGCAAUUAUUGGUCUUCAUCGAGGAAUUCCUAGUAGACGUAGUUCAUCAGACUGCAUCGAUUACGUCCCUGCCCUUUGUACACACCGCCCGUCGCUCCUACCGAUUGAAUGCUCAGGUGAGCCAUUCGGACUUUCAUCAUGCUGGUUUCCAGUUUUGAUGAAGGAAAGUCUUGCGAACCUUAUCAUUUAGAGGAAGGAGAAGUCGUAACA
Molecule: ribosomal RNA, 324 nt
Filed under: uncultured eukaryote
Lineage: Eukaryota
Description: partial 18S ribosomal RNA
Rfam family: Eukaryotic small subunit ribosomal RNA
Source: RNAcentral